UGUUCUAGCGUUUAAGUGGGUGUGGUGCUAAGUAUAUCUUGUUUAUCUUUCUGUGGAAAAAAGUUUUAAAGUGUAGUUGAAUUUGUCAUAUUAUGCUGACAAAUUAGUGCUGUUGGUUAGCACUACCAAAAAUGUUCUAUCUAGCAACAGUGGUUGUGGCUUGGU
RNAcentral lists this long non-coding RNA (165 nucleotides) under Octodon degus (degu). RNAcentral describes it as "SMAD5 antisense RNA 1 conserved region 4 (ENSODEG00000022529.1)". It matches the Rfam family "SMAD5 antisense RNA 1 conserved region 4". The record is from RNAcentral. Lineage: Eukaryota; Metazoa; Chordata; Mammalia; Rodentia; Octodontidae.